GUCUUCGUGGCUCAGUUGGUUAGAGCGUUGGUCUCAUAACGGUAUCGUUCAUGAAGUCACAAAGAGUGUCUGCUAUCCAAAGGUCGCGAGUUCGAGUCUCGCCGAGGACA
Molecule: transfer RNA, 110 nt
Filed under: Blumeria graminis f. sp. tritici
Lineage: Eukaryota; Fungi; Ascomycota; Leotiomycetes; Helotiales; Erysiphaceae
Also listed under: 1 other name
Rfam family: tRNA
About the family: Transfer RNA (tRNA) molecules are approximately 80 nucleotides in length. Their secondary structure includes four short double-helical elements and three loops (D, anti-codon, and T loops).
Source: Rfam by way of RNAcentral